Molecule: ribosomal RNA, 497 nt
Filed under: uncultured bacterium
Lineage: Bacteria
Description: partial 16S ribosomal RNA
Rfam family: Bacterial small subunit ribosomal RNA
Source: RNAcentral
GAUGAACGCUGGCGGCGUGCCUAAUACAUGCAAGUCGAGCGAACAGAUGAGGAGCUUGCUCCUCUGACGUUAGCGGCGGACGGGUGAGUAACACGUGGAUAACCUACCUAUAAGACUGGGAUAACUACGGGAAACCGGAGCUAAUACCGGAUAAUAUAUUGAACCGCAUGGUUCAAUAGUGAAAGACGGUUUUGCUGUCACUUCUAGAUGGAUCCGCGCCGCAUUAGCUAGUUGGUAAGGUAAAGGCUUACCAAGGCAACGAUGCGUAGCCGACCUGAGGGGGUGAUCGGCCACACUGGAACUGAGACACGGUCCAGACUCCUACGGGAGGCAGCAGUAGGGAAUCUUCCGCAAUGGGCGAAAGCCUGACGGAGCAACGCCGCGUGAGUGAUGAAGGUCUUCGGAUCGUAAAACUCUGUUAUCAGGGAAGAACAAAUGUGUAAGUAACUAUGCACGUCUUGACGGUACCUAAUCAGAAAGCCACGGCUAACUACGUG